This 249-nucleotide ribosomal RNA is filed under the name uncultured bacterium. Its description in RNAcentral is "partial 16S ribosomal RNA". It matches the Rfam family "Bacterial small subunit ribosomal RNA", at positions 355 to 596 of the family's 1533-position model. The record is from RNAcentral.
UGGGGAAUUUUGGACAAUGGGGGCAACCCUGAUCCAGCCAUUCCGCGUGUGCGAUGAAGGCCUUCGGGUUGUAAAGCACUUUUGGCAGGAAAGAAAUCGCACCAAUUAAUACUUGGUGUGGAUGACGGUACCUGCAGAAUAAGCACCGGCUAACAACGUGCCAGCAGCCGCGGUAGUACGUCGGGGGCAAGCGUGAAUCGGGAUGACUGGGCGUGAAGCGUCCGCGGGCGGGUUGAUCAGUAGGGCGUU